RNAcentral lists this ribosomal RNA (1247 nucleotides) under metagenome. RNAcentral describes it as "bacterial LSU rRNA". It matches the Rfam family "Bacterial large subunit ribosomal RNA", at positions 1696 to 2925 of the family's 2925-position model. The record is from RNAcentral.
CAACGCUGGCUAAGGAACUCGGCAAAAUAGCACCGUAACUUCGGGAGAAGGUGUGCCCGCCGACGUGAUAGAACUUGCUUCCUGAGCGUUGGCGGGUCGCAGUGAAAUGGGGGUUGCGACUGUUUACUAAAAACACAGGACUGUGCGAACUCGUAAGGGGACGUAUACGGUCUGACGCCUGCCCGGUGCUGGAAGGUUAAGGGGAGAGGUUAGCGCAAGCGAAGCUUCGAACCGAAGCCCCAGUAAACGGCGGCCGUAACAAUAACGGUCCUAAGGUAGCGAAGUUCCUUGUCGGGUAAGUUCCGACCUGCACGAGUGGCGUAACGACAUCCCUACUGUCUCGGCCAGCGACUCAGCGAAUUUGUAUCGGGGGUGAAGAUACCCUCUACCCGCGGCAAGACGGAAAGACCCCAUGAACCUUUACUGCAACUUGGCAGUGAGGUUCGGAACAAUCUGCGUAGGAUAGGUAGGAGGCUUUGAAGUCGGGAUUCCGGUCUCGAUGGAGCCGUCGUUGAAAUACUACCCUGGCUUUUCUGGACUUCUAACCUAGGCCCCUCAACGGGGUCGGGGACACUGCCUGGUGGGCAGUUUGACUGGGGCGGUCGCCUCCCAAACAGUAACGGAGGCGCGCGAAGGUACCCUCAGGCUGAUUGGAAACCAGCCGGCGAGUGCAAUGGCACAAGGGUGCUUAACUGUGAGAGGGACACCUCGAGCAGGUGCGAAAGCAGGCCAUAGUGAUCCGGUGGUCCCGCAUGGAAGGGCCAUCGCUCAUCGGACAAAAGGUACUCUGGGGAUAACAGGCUGAUCGCGCCUGAGAGUCCAUAUCGGCGGCGCGGUUUGGCACCUCGAUGUCGGCUCAUCGCAUCCUGGGGCUGGAGCAGGUCCCAAGGGUUUGGCUGUUCGCCAAUUAAAGCGGUACGCGAGCUGGGUUUAGAACGUCGUGAGACAGUUCGGUCCCUAUCUGCCGUGGGCGCAGGAUACUUGAGAGGAGCUGUUCAUAGUACGAGAGGACCUGAACGGACGCACCUCUAGUGUUCCGGUUGUCAUGCCAAUGGCAUAGCCGGGUAGCUAUGUGCGGAACGGAUAACCGCUGAAAGCAUCUAAGCGGGAAGCCGGCCUCAAGACAAGGUAUCCCGGGGCAUAAGCCCCCUGAAGGCCCCUUGAAGACUACAAGGUGAUAGGCGGGAGGUAGAAGCGCAGCGAUGCGCGGAGCUGACCCGUACUAAUAGGCCGUGCGGCUUGACCUU